RNAcentral lists this transfer-messenger RNA (363 nucleotides) under Escherichia coli. It matches the Rfam family "transfer-messenger RNA". Rfam says of the family: Bacterial tmRNA, also known as 10Sa RNA or SsrA, is named for its dual tRNA and mRNA-like properties. Its role is to liberate the mRNA from a stalled ribosome. To accomplish this part of the tmRNA is used as a reading frame that ends in a translation stop signal. Lineage: Bacteria; Pseudomonadati; Pseudomonadota; Gammaproteobacteria; Enterobacterales; Enterobacteriaceae. The record is from RNAcentral.
GGGGCUGAUUCUGGAUUCGACGGGAUUUGCGAAACCCAAGGUGCAUGCCGAGGGGCGGUUGGCCUCGUAAAAAGCCGCAAAAAAUAGUCGCAAACGACGAAAACUACGCUUUAGCAGCUUAAUAACCUGCUUAGAGCCCUCUCUCCCUAGCCUCCGCUCUUAGGACGGGGAUCAAGAGAGGUCAAACCCAAAAGAGAUCGCGUGGAACCCCUGCCUGGGGUUGAAGCGUUAAAACUUAAUCAGGCUAGUUUGUUAGUGGCGUGUCCGUCCGCAGCUGGCAAGCGAAUGUAAAGACUGACUAAGCAUGUAGUACCGAGGACGUAGGAAUUUCGGACGCGGGUUCAACUCCCGCCAGCUCCACCA